RNAcentral lists this non-coding RNA (147 nucleotides) under Bigelowiella natans. Lineage: Eukaryota; Cercozoa; Chlorarachniophyceae. The record is from RNAcentral.
UGUUGCAUAAUCAAGCUCGAUUCACAGCAGUGCAGGAACGCUUCAACAAGAUGAAGAUCGACAUGGAAAAGAAGAAGGAAGUUGCCGUCCGUAAUGACAGAAACAAAAUUGUUGUAGACAAUGAAGAAUACACUCCAACAGUUAAGG